AUUGAACGCCGGCGGCAGGCUUAACACAUGCAAGUCGAGCGGGGGAAGGUAGCUUGCUACCGGACCUAGCGGCGGACGGGUGAGUAAUGCUUAGGAAUCUGCCUAUUAGUGGGGGACAACAUCUCGAAAGGGAUGCGAAUACCGCAUACGUCCUACGAGAGAAAGCAGGGGAUCUUCGGACCUUGCGCUAAUAGAUGAGCCUAAGUCGGAUUAGCUAGUUGGUGGGGUAAAGGCCUACCAAGGCGACGAUCUGUAGCGGGUCUGAGAGGAUGAUCCGCCACACUGGGACUGAGACACGGCCCAGACUCCUACGGGAGGCAGCAGUGGGGAAUAUUGGACAAUGGGGGGAACCCUGAUCCAGCCAUGCCGCGUGUGUGAAGAAGGCCUUAUGGUUGUAAAGCACUUUAAGCGAGGAGGAGGCUACUUUAGUUAAUACCUAGAGAUAGUGGACGUUACUCGCAGAAUAAGCACCGGCUAACUCUGUGCCAGCAGCCGCCGUAA
RNAcentral lists this ribosomal RNA (501 nucleotides) under uncultured bacterium. Its description in RNAcentral is "partial 16S ribosomal RNA". It matches the Rfam family "Bacterial small subunit ribosomal RNA", at positions 30 to 523 of the family's 1533-position model. The record is from RNAcentral.